CUGCGAAUGGAGACCGAUGACCGAUCAAUGGCCGGCCACAGUUCUCGCCACAGCAUUAUAUUGAUUCAUUAUUUCAUUCCAUUUUAAAAACUAUGAAGAACAUCAUAUGGUAAAGAAACGGCCAGGCCCUUCAAAAAAAAUGAAUGUGUAACGAUGGUAAAAUAGAGAAAAAAUAUCUUUUUUUUUAAAAAAAGAAAAACAAUACUACUAUAUUGAGAAAAAGGAAAGCUUAAUCUCUACUAUAAUUGAAAUCUUCUCCAGGCAAAUUCCACCUGCAAGAUCAACGACUCACAGCACAUAUCCUAUAGAUUUAACGGCCCAGAUUAGAAGUAUGAUCAUGACCUUACACACCCUCAGCCUAAGGGCCGCAACCUCCUCCGUCAAUCCGCAAUUUCGCGUCAAUUGCUCCAUUCUUGCCUAUCGCACAACAGAAAAAAAAACCUCUGUCGCAUCAAUCGCUCCAUUCUUGCCUAUCGCACAAUAGAAAAAAGAAACUUCUGUCAAUUACUCAAAAAAGACCGCAACCUCCAUUCUUGCCGAUCGCACAAUAGGAAAAAAACCUCCGUCAAUUACUCGCUCCUUAGGAAAUCUACCUCCGUCAACGAGUCAAGCACGAUUCAAUUUUUGAAUACAUCAUAAUUUCCGCCUCCUUCAUCUACCGCAAUUGACGCCCGGCCGUGGAGGACCGUCGUCAAGCUGGUGCCGUAGCUAGGUCGGC
This 718-nucleotide long non-coding RNA is filed under the name Sorghum bicolor (sorghum). Its description in RNAcentral is "long non-coding RNA (SBIC_LNC018312)". Lineage: Eukaryota; Viridiplantae; Streptophyta; Magnoliopsida; Poales; Poaceae. The record is from RNAcentral.